This is a long non-coding RNA of Halichondria panicea, 844 nucleotides long. RefSeq lists it as uncharacterized. The record is from RefSeq and is a predicted model, not a curated record. The transcript has 4 exons. Lineage: Eukaryota; Metazoa; Porifera; Demospongiae; Suberitida; Halichondriidae.
CUGGUAUAUAAUUUCAGUAAACUCGUACCAUCUCACAAUACUCUCUUUUCGACAUGGAAGAAAGAGGCUACCAACACUUACAGUGGCAACACAAAGAUGAUUAUCUUAGGCAUGAUCAAGCUCUCCCAAGACCAAGUGCCCCUCCUGCACCUCUUCCAUUGACAGGUUUUGGGACCCUGGAGAGCAAUCCACAGCCGCCAGUUGCAAGGGAGAAUGCUCCACUGCUACCAGACACUCCUGAAGUGAAUGCAGAAACGGAAGUAUUCAGUCUAGAGAAGUUUGUGUUUUUAUGGCUCGGAAUUGGUCAUAAAUAUUCUGGACUGUGCCUUGUGGUGUAUUUGCUCAUAUAUGUCGGGGGAAUUACCUUAAUUCUUACAGCAGUAUUGAUUUUUGCUGUCACUCCUCCGGGAUAUUAUGGUUGUAAUCCUCAACAAGCUGAUUUUUUAUGCAUUCUUUCUGGAGUCUUGUUCCUUUUGAUUGGAAGUUGCUGGCCAAUUGCUUACUGCUGGAAAAGAAGGCCGAGUCGCAACUUCACAAUGCUGGGCUGCUACUUGUGGCUUUUAUCUGUAUUGAUUGUGUCCUGUUUGGCAGCAUUGGGCGCAACAAUGGUAGCUGCUAACUGCUCUGAUCCUCUUUCAUUGAUUGUUGUUAUUACUAUGGGAGCUGUUGUUGUGACGUUUUUGUGCUCUAGUGUUUGUUGUUUGUGUUUUUUUAGCAGAAAAAUUGGUAGAAUUUGUUAGGUUUAGAUCUAAUACAAACACUGACUGUGAUGAUGAAUAUAGUUUUUGUUGAAUUAUGGAUCAAUUAAGUGCCAUUCUCAACUGAGUUUCAUUGGCACAUGGAG